GUAGGGAGCUAUAAGUUCUCUGUAUCGCAGCUAACGCAAUAAGCACUCCGCCUGGGGGAGUACGACCGCAAGGUUGAAACUCAAAGGAAUUGACGGGGGGCCCGCACAAGCGGUGGAGCAUGUGGUUUAAUUCGAAGCAACGCGAAGAACCUUACCAGGUCUUGACAUACUCGUGCUAUUCCUAGAGAUAGGAAGUUCCUUCGGGACACGGGAUACAGGUGGUGCAUGGUUGUCGUCAGCUCGUGUCGUGAGAUGUUGGGUUAGUCCCGCAACGAGCGCAACCCCUAUUGUUAGUUGCCAUCAUUAAGUUGGGCACUCUAACGAGACUGCCGGUGAUAAACCGGAGGAAGGUGGGGAUGACGUCAAAUCAUCAUGCCCCUUAUGACCUGGGCUACACACGUGCUACAAUGGAUGGUACAACGAGUCGCGAGACAGUGAUGUUUAGCUAAUCUCUUAAAACCAUUCUCAGUUCGGAUUGUAGGCUGCAACUCGCCUACAUGAAGUCGGAAUCGCUAGUAAUCGCGGAUCAGCACGCCGCGGUGAAUACGUUCCCGGGCCUUGUACACACCGCCCGUCACACCACGGGAGUUGGGAGUACCCGAAGUAGGUUGCCUAACCGCAAGGAGGGCGCUUCCUAAGGUAAGACCGAUGACUGGGGUGAAGUCGUAACAAGGUAGCCGUAUCGGAAGGUGCGGCUGGAUCACCUCCUUUCUAAGGAAUAUAUAC
Molecule: ribosomal RNA, 726 nt
Filed under: Lactococcus lactis RTB018
Lineage: Bacteria; Bacillati; Bacillota; Bacilli; Lactobacillales; Streptococcaceae
Description: bacterial SSU rRNA
Rfam family: Bacterial small subunit ribosomal RNA
Source: RNAcentral